Molecule: long non-coding RNA, 1128 nt
Organism: Daphnia carinata
Lineage: Eukaryota; Metazoa; Arthropoda; Branchiopoda; Diplostraca; Daphniidae
Exons: 4
Source: RefSeq, a predicted model, not a curated record
UUUCUAAGUUUGCUUAACGCGUGCAGCCUGCUGUCUGCCUUCCUCGCUAGAUUUUACUUCUUGACCUCGUGGUUUUUGGGACUUUCGCCAUUAAAUUUACUCAUUUUUCAACACUGUUCAAGAAGUGUCGUGAAGCACAUCAAUCAGGAAUAUCAUCGGGAUUUCGACUCACAUUGGUAGGGCACUUGUUGAUGACUUCCAUUACAGUGGAACAAUUACAGCUAGUACUUACAGCAGUUAAAACACAUGGAUAAUAUUGAAACUUAUACAAAAAAAAAUCACCAGCAUUCACAAGGGAGUGGGUUCAUAAGGACUGGCAAAGUUUUGAUUUUGCCCUUGAUCUAAGGAAGUUGUCUUUCAAACGGUAAUAUGAUGUUUUAUGGGCACCAUGUAUAAAAGAUCUUCAUUAGCAUUCCAGAAACUUCUUCACUGCAGCAGUUAUCCUUUGGUAAUAAUCAGAAAUUCUAUGCAUUUACUGAAAGAUCCAGGAAUGAUUGCUACUGGAACAUCUAUGAACACUCAAAAUCAGGUGUGAUUUUGAUAUCAACUCCUUUGGUCCUACGUUACUUAACCCUUUGGGUUAAAAAAGCUACGCCCGAGAAAUUUCCUUAAGGAAUAACAUUAGUGGUAUUACUUUCUUUCGUUUACAAUCGGUUUCUCACUUAUAAGGUGCCACCAGCCAACUCAACAACCAGAGGAGUGCUAGGCAUUUGCGGGUGAACGUGAAAAUAGUUGACCGCCUGUUAAUUGUAAUUCCGAUUUUGCUUAAAUUUUUAUUUUCAACGGUGCAUAUACAUAGUUGAGUUGCUGGUAAUUGUAAUAGCCAUCAUCCUCUGUUAAGUCUUUCAAAAAUCGUAAGACCUAUCAAGGUUACUUAAUGUUGUUAAUUUACAUUACGCCAGAAAAUACACCAGCAGUCAGCCACCAGGCAGUAGGUUUACGAGGACUACCUUGCCUUGCUAAAGUGUAAGGUUUCCCUAGGCUCUGCGUAACCAUCAACAAGGGGAUGCGAAACAUCCGACUGACUGUCCCCGAUUACGUAUCUGCUGAAAGGUAAGGUUGUGUCAAUCUCUUCUUGGGAAAAGCAGAAUAGCUGAGUGUCGGCCGAGUUGGUGUGAAAUGGGGUGA